UUGAGCUGACUUAGCAGGGAAGGAGCCAAGGAACACAGAGCCUGACCUCAUUCUUCUUUCUCCCUCCAGGCUCUGCCCCUAUUUCCCAUUGGCCAAACCCUACUGGAAGUGGAAGGCUAAGAAGCCCGCUGGUGCAAUCCAUACAGAAAAGAAACUAACACAGGGAAGAGAGAGAACAAUGGCGUUUUGACAAAUGGAACAAAGAUAGAGUGUGACUGACAAUUCAGGUCAGAAGGAAAAUUAAAGCACAGGAAGACUGAUGUUGGUCGGCCUCCUUGCCAAGAAGCAAAAACUCAGGGGGAGGCAUCCAGCCACAUGCGAACUGGCUCAACACUGGCCAUUUUGUUUGAGCAAUUUUGUUGGAUGUUUUCUACAAAAGAGCACUUUUUCUCGGACUUCAAACAUUCUUAUAUGCAGGAUCGACACCACACACUGCCAUCAUCCCCUGGAGUAGUAUCCUUGAGACCUGAGGAGGGGAGAACUGGAGGGAGGUUGUGGGACUCCACUGAGAAAUGUGGUCCUUUGUCUCCUUGGAGAUCUUUGAGGAUGGUUCAGAUAAAGUUGCUGCCAGUGGAAGCAGCUAGUUUCAGAAACCUCCAGUUGCCCUUUCUAGACUUGUAAUCCUCUGAAAAAUGGAAAUUAGGAAGCGUUCAUUUAUGACCUUAAAAAAAAUCGUUUACAAAAGUAUAUUAUAUCAGUAAAAUGAGCUGGAAAAAGGGUUUAUGUGAAAGUUCAUGUGAGAAACACAGCUAUUAGCACGCAUGCCAUUCCCCACCUUGACCUCAGCAGGAAUGUGUAAAUUGUAACAUAUGGAAUGUAAGCCCUGUCAAGAUGUUUCAUAAAUCUGCCUGGCAAUGAGCAUCACAAGGCCCUGCAUGAGAACAGACCCCAGAAAUGGAGAGACAAAUAAAGAAACAUCAGAAAUAUUAAAACCAGGACCAAAAGGAGGCCCAGGUGUAGGAGCAUGAAACAUCUGGCAACAUGUAGCAAAAACAGGAGACUUUUUUCUUCUAACUGAAUUUUGGCCUCUUGGUGCCAGUAUGUGAAAAAGGUCUUGUAGGCCAGGUGCAGAGGCUCACGCCUGUAAUCCCAGCACUUUGGGAGGCCAAGGCUGGCAGAUUACAAGGUCAGGAGUUCAAGACCAGCCUGGUCAACACAGUGAAACCCCGUCUCUACUAAAAAUACAAAAAUUAGUCGGGCGUGGUGGCGCAUGCCUGUAAUGCCAGCUACUCAGGAGGCUGAGGCAGAAGAAACGCUUGAACCCUGGAGGUGGAGGUUGCAGAGAGCCGAGAUUGCACUACUGCACUCCAACCUGGGCGACAGGGUGAGACUCCAUCUCAAAAAAGAAAAAAGAAAAAAGAUAAAGGCCUUGUAAUUGGCCAGAAUGAGGGGAAGUUAGACAAGAGAGGAAGAAAUAUAAAUAUAAUUAAAA
Pongo pygmaeus (Bornean orangutan) is the source of this 1432-nucleotide long non-coding RNA. RefSeq lists it as uncharacterized. Lineage: Eukaryota; Metazoa; Chordata; Mammalia; Primates; Hominidae. The transcript is spliced from 3 exons. The record is from RefSeq and is a predicted model, not a curated record.